This 253-nucleotide ribosomal RNA is filed under the name uncultured bacterium. RNAcentral describes it as "partial 16S ribosomal RNA". It matches the Rfam family "Bacterial small subunit ribosomal RNA", at positions 524 to 776 of the family's 1533-position model. The record is from RNAcentral.
UACGGAGGGUGCGAGCGUUGUCCGGAAUCACUGGGCGUAAAGGGCGCGUAGGCGGCGCGGAUAGUCGGCGGUGAAAGCCCGGAGCUCAACUCCGGGUCGGCCGUCGAUACUUCCGGGCUUGAGCACUGUAGAGGCAGAUGGAAUUCCGGGUGUAGCGGUGGAAUACGUAGAGAUCCGGAAGAACACCGGUGGCGAAGGCGGUCUGCUGGGCAGUUGCUGACGCUGAUGCGCGACAGCGUGGGGAGCAAACAGG